AUCACUGUAUUGAAACCAUUCCCGUAAAAAAACGCACGGACUAUCCUAAAUCACCGAUAUCAUCGAGGUUUUCGCUCCUUCAUUGUCUCCUUCCUCUCGUCGCUGCCCUUCACAUCUCUGAGAAAACCGAGGAAUCAGCAAAAGGUACAUUGGCUUUAUAUCAACGCAAUUGAAGCUAUAAUAUUUGGGUGAAUCACACAAUGCCCAAACACAGUAGUCAUACCUCUUUCUUGAGGAUGGAGACAUGCUAAAAGCAAGCUUAUGUGAAGACUGCAUUCUAUGAACGGUUAAUAUUAAGACGUUUACUGUGAAGAACUAUUAGAUCUAUGACCUGGAUCCUCCGCGUCGAGCACCGCCGACAUGACUCGAUCGGAGCCAUCGUCCUGCGCGGGGCCCCAGUCGGUCCACGCGUUCUCGCCAUAGUGGAGAUCGGCGAAGAGCGCGAUCUUGAAGGGCGAUCCGUCAGCAGAGAACCGGAGCGGAUUCGCGUUCGGAAGGGGGAGAAGCGGAUCCUGGCGCCGGCUGUCGGACAAGGCGACAAGAGUGCUCACCAGGAAGCAGAAGAAGAGGAGGAGGAGGAAGGCGAUGGAAGGGUGAGCUCGCCCCAUCCAGUAUAGCCUCCGGCAGCGAAAUCACACGCUCCACGGCGACUACAUGUCGCUUCGCCAACAAGUAGAAUAACAGAAUAUUCCUUGAAGAAUGCUUCCCGUCGCCGUAUUAAUAACAUUUGUUGGGAAGCGAAGUGCCGGGAAUAUAUCUUCUUCGUAUUUAUAAGCAAAUUAGUUGCUUGCUGAAUUGGUGAUGGACUAAUGUUCAAUUAAUGUAUCAACGGCAUAUAAAUCUAAAAGUGAUUUUUUUUUUAAUA
Long non-coding RNA from Zingiber officinale, 865 nucleotides. RefSeq lists it as uncharacterized. The transcript has 2 exons. NCBI's taxonomy places the organism in Eukaryota, Viridiplantae, Streptophyta, Magnoliopsida, Zingiberales, Zingiberaceae. The record is from RefSeq and is a predicted model, not a curated record.